AGGGUUGUGCAGCUAUUAUUCUGUGUUUUUUUCAUCAUCAACAGUACAGGCUGACCCUACGAGUAACGACAGUUUUAGCAACAAAUGUUUUAGCGCCUCGUCUUGCAACUGUAGUUGAUACUCUAGGGUUUUAUGUUUUAAAUUGGAUUUCAACUGUUUGAGAUCAAAGGAAAAACUAGAUGGCGUUGACGUGCGUCUAUGAUAAUUGAUAAAUAUUACGAGUGACAAGUUAAAUUGGUGUUUAUUACGUUUCUACCCUGUUCAGUGUUUCAAAGGAUUUUUCAUCAAAUAUUAACGGUGGAUUGUCACCAGACAUCCUUUGAAUGGUACGCCCACUAUCAGCAGCCUUAUAGUGUGCUUCAUAAAUAUGUCAACCCCUGAGAUGACAUUAUCCUUGGAAAUUGUGUUUUUGUUGUGGUUUUCUUCUCCACUUCUAUUCUUUGUUACCUUCAUGGUGUGAUAUUGUAUCAUCCUGGAAAAAGGAAUCUGGAAAUUGAUGAUUUCUAAUAUACAGCUGGUGUUCAGAUGAUGAGUUUAAUAUAUUUACAUUUUGGAAUGAACUUUCAAUUGGAAGUUGAGUGUUUUAUCAGAUUAUUGAAUCCUACUUUGAAAACCAAACUAUUUCCUUCUACAAAUGGAUUUUGAAGUAUUGUACAUAUGGUAUUAUGUACUC
Molecule: long non-coding RNA, 673 nt
Organism: Daphnia magna
Lineage: Eukaryota; Metazoa; Arthropoda; Branchiopoda; Diplostraca; Daphniidae
Exons: 6
Source: RefSeq, a predicted model, not a curated record